UACGGGGGGAGCAAGCGUUGUUCGGAUUUACUGGGCGUAAAGGGCGCGUAGGCGGUCGUGACAAGUCACUUGUGAAAUCUCCGGGCUUAACUCGGAAAGGUCAAGUGAUACUGUCGGACUAGAGUACAGAAGGGGCAACUGGAAUUCUCGGUGUAGCGGUGAAAUGCGUAGAUAUCGAGAGGAACACCAGUGGCGAAGGCGACACACUGGGUCAUUACUGACGCUGAGGCGCGAAAGCGUGGGGAGCAAACAGG
RNAcentral lists this ribosomal RNA (254 nucleotides) under uncultured bacterium. RNAcentral's name for it is "partial 16S ribosomal RNA". It matches the Rfam family "Bacterial small subunit ribosomal RNA", at positions 524 to 776 of the family's 1533-position model. The record is from RNAcentral.